AGUGAAUGCUAGGGGUAUGCUUAACACAUGCAAGUUGAACGGAACAUCUGUUUAGUAGCGUACGGGUGAGUAAUAUAGGAGAACCAAGCACUAAGUUCGGAACAAGAGAUUUGUCUGUAUAAAUGCCCGGAUAUUGAAAAGAUUUAUCGCUUAGUGUGGGGCUCCUAUGGGAUUAGGUUGUUGGUUGUGUAAUGGACAACCAAGCCAGGGAUCCCUAGUUGGUCUGAGAGGAUGAUCAGCCACACUGGGACUGAAACAAGGCCCAGACUUCCAUGGAGGGCAGCAGUGAGGAGUAUUGGACAAU
RNAcentral lists this ribosomal RNA (304 nucleotides) under uncultured bacterium. RNAcentral describes it as "bacterial SSU rRNA". It matches the Rfam family "Bacterial small subunit ribosomal RNA", at positions 29 to 372 of the family's 1533-position model. The record is from RNAcentral.